GUCUAUGGCCAUGCCACCCUGAACACGCCCGAUCUUGUCUAAGCAGGGUCGUGCCUGGUUAGUACUUAGAUGGGAGACCACCUAGGAAGACCAGGUGCUAUAGCUG
RNAcentral lists this ribosomal RNA (106 nucleotides) under Pteropus alecto (black flying fox). The record is from RNAcentral. Lineage: Eukaryota; Metazoa; Chordata; Mammalia; Chiroptera; Pteropodidae.